This 443-nucleotide ribosomal RNA is filed under the name uncultured bacterium. RNAcentral describes it as "partial 16S ribosomal RNA". It matches the Rfam family "Bacterial small subunit ribosomal RNA", at positions 338 to 795 of the family's 1533-position model. The record is from RNAcentral.
CCUACGGGAGACAGCAGUGGGGAAUAUUGGGCAAUGGGCGCAAGCCUGACCCAGCAACGCCGCGUGAAGGCAGAAGUCCCUCGGGUUGUAAACUUCUUUUAUCAGGUACGAAGCAAGUGACGGUACCUGAUGAAUAAGCCACGGCUAACGACGUGACAGCAGCCGCGAUAAUACGUAGGUGACAAGCGUUAUCCGGAUUUACUGGGUGUAAAGGUCGUGUAGGCGGGAAAGAAAGUCAGAUGUGAAAACCAUGGGAUCAACCUGUAGCAUGCAUUUGAAACUGUUUUUCUUGAGUACUGGAGAGGCAGACGGAAGUCCUAGGGUAGCGGUGAAAUGCGUAGAUAUUAGGAGGAACACCAGUGGCGAAGGCGGUCUGCUGGACAGCAACUGACGCUGAGGCGCGAAAGCGUGGGGAGCAAACAGGAUUAGAUACCCCUGUAGUC